UGGGGAAUAUUGGACAAUGGGCGCAAGCCUGAUCCAGCCAUGCCGCGUGAGUGAUGAAGGCCCUAGGGAUGUAAAGCUCUUUCACCGGUGAAUAUAAUGACGGUAACCGGAGAAGAAGCCCCGGCUAACUUCGUGCCAGCAGCCGCGGUAAUACGAAGGGGGCUAGCGUUGUUCGGAUUUACUGGGCGUAAAGCGCACGUAGGCGGACUUUUAAGUCAGGGGUGAAAUCCCGGGGCUCAACCCCGGAACUGCCUUUGAUACUGGAAGUCUUGAGUAUGGUAGAGGUGAGUGGAAUUCCGAGUGUAGAGGUGAAAUUCGUAGAUAUUCGGAGGAACACCAGUGGCGGAAGCGGCUCACUGGACCAUUACUGACGCUGAGGUGCGAAAGCGUGGGGAGCAAACAGG
Molecule: ribosomal RNA, 404 nt
Filed under: Actinomycetes bacterium
Lineage: Bacteria; Bacillati; Actinomycetota; Actinomycetes
Description: Actinobacteria bacterium partial 16S ribosomal RNA
Rfam family: Bacterial small subunit ribosomal RNA
Source: RNAcentral